UACGUAGGGGGCAAGCGUUGUCCGGAUUCAUUGGGCGUAAAGAGCGUGUAGGCGGCCAGGUAGGUCGGUUGUGAAAACUGGAGGCUCAACCUUCAGAGGUCGACCGAAACCAUCUGGCUAGAGUCCGGGAGAGGAGAGUGGAAUUCCUGGUGUAGCGGUGAAAUGCGCAGAUAUCAGGAAGAACACCCGUGGCGGAAGCGGCUCUCUGGAACGGUACUGACGCUGAGACGCGAAAGCGUGGGGAGCGAACAGG
This 253-nucleotide ribosomal RNA is filed under the name uncultured bacterium. Its description in RNAcentral is "partial 16S ribosomal RNA". It matches the Rfam family "Bacterial small subunit ribosomal RNA", at positions 524 to 776 of the family's 1533-position model. The record is from RNAcentral.